GGACUUACCUGGCAGGGAAGACACCCAUGGGUGCUUUCCUAGGGCGAGGCUCAUCCAUUGCCCUGAGGAUCUGCUGACCUCUGCGAUUUCCCUACAGGGGGAACAAAGGGCAAAACGUGUGUUGGUGGACUGUCGGGGUCGCGCUUUCCCU
Dasypus novemcinctus (nine-banded armadillo) is the source of this 151-nucleotide small nuclear RNA. Its record names the gene U1. It matches the Rfam family "U1 spliceosomal RNA". Rfam says of the family: U1 is a small nuclear RNA (snRNA) component of the spliceosome (involved in pre-mRNA splicing). Its 5' end forms complementary base pairs with the 5' splice junction, thus defining the 5' donor site of an intron. The record is from Ensembl. NCBI's taxonomy places the organism in Eukaryota, Metazoa, Chordata, Mammalia, Cingulata, Dasypodidae.